This 497-nucleotide ribosomal RNA is filed under the name uncultured bacterium. Its description in RNAcentral is "partial 16S ribosomal RNA". It matches the Rfam family "Bacterial small subunit ribosomal RNA", at positions 28 to 507 of the family's 1533-position model. The record is from RNAcentral.
GAUGAACGCUGGCGGCGUGCCUAAUACAUGCAAGUCGAGCGAGCGGACGAGAAGCUUGCUUCUCUGAUGUUAGCGGCGGACGGGUGAGUAACACGUGGAUAACCUACCUAUAAGACUGGGAUAACUUCGGGAAACCGUAGCUAAUACCGGAUAAUAUUUUGAACCGCAUGGUUCAAAAGUGAAAGACGGUCUUGCUGUCACUUAUAGAUGGAUCCGCGCUGCAUUAGCUAGUUGGUAAGGUAACGGCUUACCAAGGCAACGAUGCAUAGCCGACCUGAGAGGGUGAUCGGCCACACUGGAACUGAGACACGGUCCAGACUCCUACGGGAGGCAGCAGUAGGGAAUCUUCCGCAAUGGGCGAAAGCCUGACGGAGCGACGCCGCGUGAGUGAUGAAGGUCUUCGGAUCGUAAAACUCUGUUAUUAGGGAAGAACAUAUGUGUAAGUAACUGUGCACAUCUUGACGGUACCUAAUCAGAAAGCCACGGCUAACUACGUG